CCUUACCUACCCUUGACAUGUCUGGAAUCCCGAAGAGAUUGGGAGUGCUACGAAAGAGAACCGGAACACGAGGUGCUGCAUGGCUGUCGUCAGCUCGUGUCGUGAGAUGUUGGGUUAAGUCCCGCAACGAGCGCAACCCUUGUCAUUAGUUGCUACGAAAGGGCACUCUAAUGAGACUGCCGGUGACAAACCGGAGGAAGGUGGGGAUGACGUCAAGUCCUCAUGGCCCUUAUGGGUAGGGCUUCACACGUCAUACAAUGGUCGGGACAGAGGGUCGCCAACCCGCGAGGGGGAGCUAAUCCCAGAAACCCGAUCGUAGUCCGGAUCGCAGUCUGCAACUCGACUGCGUGAAGUCGGAAUCGCUAGUAAUCGCGGAUCAGCAUGUCGCGGUGAAUACGUUCCCGGGUCUUGUACACACCGCCCGUCACACCAUGGGAGUGGGUUUCACCAGAAGUAGGUAGCCUAACCGUAAGGAGGGCGCUUACCACGGUGAGAUUCAUGACUGGGGUGAAGUCGUAACAAGGUAAGCGUAGUGCU
This 537-nucleotide ribosomal RNA is filed under the name uncultured bacterium. Its description in RNAcentral is "bacterial SSU rRNA". It matches the Rfam family "Bacterial small subunit ribosomal RNA", at positions 969 to 1509 of the family's 1533-position model. The record is from RNAcentral.